Molecule: long non-coding RNA, 207 nt
Filed under: Ananas comosus (pineapple)
Lineage: Eukaryota; Viridiplantae; Streptophyta; Magnoliopsida; Poales; Bromeliaceae
Description: long non-coding RNA (ACOM_LNC025554)
Source: RNAcentral
AUUUUAAGUUGUAGAAAUCGAAACCUAAUAAAACUUCUGUUGUUUCCGUUACAAUGCUGAGAGAUUUUUUAACAAAAAUAUUCAUCAGAAGAUUUUGACAUAAAAAUACGAAUGUUUUUAAAAUAGUUUUAUUCAAACAACAGACUGCUACUACUAUACGACUCCAAAAUAUCAAAGAAAAGGAUUAAUUAAUAUUAUUAUACAAUU